GUAUAAUAGAUAUUGAAAAGAUAAAUACAAGUUGAAUAGUUGAAUGUCUUGUCUUCGUUUUAAAGUUUGAAUGGUGGCUCUAUGUCAAUGUAUGUGGAAGUAGUAAGAGUUUAAAAAUGAGUAAGUUGAAUGAGGAUUUGAAGGGUCUCCCCAUUGAAAUACAUUAUAAAUUUUUGUUGAAUAAAGUUGAAUAAAAUUAAAAAUAUAAAUGUUAAAAAUAUGAAAAAUAGAAGCAGUGUUGUCCAAAAGAAUAGGAAUCUAACGGUGUUUGAAUGGUUUUUCUAAGUUGAACGGUUUUGAAGGAGUAGGCUUACAAAAAACGUACGGAAUACAGAAUAAAAUAUAAUAACUAGAAAGUGCAUUUUCUGAAGAAACUGCAGUGUGAAUGCUUGAAUCUGAAUGUAUGCACUGAAAUGAAUUAAUUGCUGAAUUUUGAGUUAAAAAUAUUGAAUGAGAUAAAAAACAAAACAAAAAAAAACCCGAAUUUAACCUGAAAACAAAGGUGCUGAACUGCUAAAAGCUGAAGGUUACACAGAAGAAGAAGUUGGAAAAAAGCUGAAAAUGUUUUAAUUGUAAAUUAGAAAAACCUAAGAAAUGAGAAAAGAACAUUUAGAGUCAGAAAACAUCUGAACGAAUAUUAAAAGGUCAUAUUCUUUGAAUCACUGAAUGACUAAAAUGUGAUCCCUCCACUUUGAUCCACACAGUUUAAAAAUUUUAAAUGUCUGAGAUUUUAAAGACACAGUGUUAGAAAGAGAACAACGAUGGCAACGUUUUGAGGGUAAAAUGAUGGCUGUAACACUGUGGACACAGCAGCAGUUGAAAGAGAAGUGUUUAAGAUGAAUCUUGGCAGAGUGAGAGAGAAAGCUCGUUAAGCAGGCAGGUGUGAGCCUGGUUGCUAUAGUGACCGCACCCAAUGGCUCCAUACACACGACACAGACAUGCACCUCACUUUUGCUGCUUAAAAUGAACAGAAAAGUCAGGCCGAAACAAAUCGUUCCCAUAUGAAAAGUACAAGUCGUAUUGACGAAAUUCUUUCACCGUGAG
This is a long non-coding RNA of Astatotilapia calliptera (eastern happy), 1044 nucleotides long. NCBI's taxonomy places the organism in Eukaryota, Metazoa, Chordata, Actinopteri, Cichliformes, Cichlidae. The record is from Ensembl.